GGAGAGGUGUCCGAGUGGUUUAUGGUGCCGCUCUCGAAAAGCGGUGUUGCUGAAUGGCAACCGUGGGUUCGAAUCCCACCCUCUCCG
This 87-nucleotide transfer RNA is filed under the name Dehalococcoidia bacterium. RNAcentral describes it as "tRNA-Ser". It matches the Rfam family "tRNA". From Rfam's summary of the family: Transfer RNA (tRNA) molecules are approximately 80 nucleotides in length. Their secondary structure includes four short double-helical elements and three loops (D, anti-codon, and T loops). Lineage: Bacteria; Bacillati; Chloroflexota; Dehalococcoidia. The record is from RNAcentral.